UUGUUACAUUUGCCGGCUUCAUUAUCCUCGUAUCGUUGAUUUUUUACUCUAAGUUUAAAUUUUAUAAAAAUUAUUUGCGGGACCUGAUUUAUAUGACUUGGCCAGGAAGCUCAAUACAAUAAUGCUAUAGAGGGUCGUGCUAAGCGCUUUGCACUGAACUUUCUGGGUACACUAGAAAUCGUUAAAACCUGCUUCUUUUUAGGACCCACAAUUUUUUUUAUUGUUUGGGAUUUUCUCUUAAAAGGGACUUUUUUUCAAUUUUACUAGUGAAGCAUAUGAACCC
Long non-coding RNA from Zophobas morio, 283 nucleotides. RefSeq lists it as uncharacterized. The record is from RefSeq and is a predicted model, not a curated record. The transcript is spliced from 3 exons. Lineage: Eukaryota; Metazoa; Arthropoda; Insecta; Coleoptera; Tenebrionidae.